Molecule: long non-coding RNA, 3306 nt
Filed under: Cucumis sativus (cucumber)
Lineage: Eukaryota; Viridiplantae; Streptophyta; Magnoliopsida; Cucurbitales; Cucurbitaceae
Description: long non-coding RNA (CSAT_LNC002396)
Source: RNAcentral
ACAAAAACAAUAAUCUUGAUCAUCUCGCCUAGGACACUUCAUGUGAUGUGAAUUGACUGAAAAUACUAACAAAUUGAUGCAACGCAAUUAUGUCAUGGCAGACAUUCAAUUUGGCAAGUCUAACAUUGAACGUCCUUCGCUAUCUAGGGAAAAAUAAAAUAAAACAUUUGAAAUAUUAAACAAAAGUGUCUCGUGAGUGGGGGUUUUCACCAACAUAUUUAGUAAAUACAUUUUAACCAUAACGUGUGUUGCUAUUCUUUUUCCAAAACCAUGCUAUAUUAAUAGUUACGCAUUCAAAUAGUAAAAUCAUUUCCUUUCAAAUCAUUCAUAAAAGUUCCUAUCGCAUAGGAAUACAUUCCUCAUAACGCAUACAAUACUUAUUUGGGUAUAUUCUGUUUGAAAGUUUAAGGACAUUUUUGUGUAAGUAUUCCUCGUAAAGUUCCUAUCGCAUAGGAUUUUUUUUUUUUUUUUACCCAAACUACAAAGUUUAAUCUAAGUAAAUACCUUUAGAAAAAUGAAUAAAAAAUAGAGACAAUGAUGUUUUUGGAAAGUGAGAAAAGGACAAUGGAGGGGGGAGGGGUAUCUAGUAUUGUUCUAUGUCCCAUGUUAAACAUGGGACCUUCCUUUCUUUUAUUUUAUUUUUAAAUAAAAGAUUCUUAAAGAGAUUUUAGAAAAAUUAGCAUAUUAUAGUAUUUUGUAUUUUAUAAAUGUCCUAAAUAUAAUAACAUUUCAUUUCUUUUUUCUAGAAUGAUGUGAUUUAAAUAAUUGUUGUAAAAAAUAAAGUGAUGAGAAAAAUAUUGACAAAAAUAAGUUAGCAAAAUUGUGUACCCAAUACAUGAUUUCUUUAAGUCAUGUACCCGAUUCACUACUUCGAUCGCAUGUGUAUAGCUCACUUGCAAGUGUGGCAGUGUGGACUGCCAGUUGUUCACCAUGCCAAAAUCAUGUACCGAAUACAUAACUUCAAAUGUGAUGUCGUUUACCCAUUCCAUAACUUGAACGUGAAGUUUUGUUCCUUUAUAUUAUGUUAUAUUCUGUUUGACCUUUCUUUUAAUAACAAAAAUCAACAAAUAAGGAAAUAAAAUUAAGAGAUUGAAAACCCUACCUAACUUCCACUCCCCUUUUCCCUCCCCCUCCUUGCUGUGAAACAAGACUAGCCACAACCCAUUUUCUUAUUUCUUCUUCUCCUUCAAGCUUUCCAUCAAUCAGCUUCAGACCUUGAAUAGGCCAGUGGCUUCGCUUGACGUGCGUGAUGGUGGACAAUCCAAAUCGAUGUGAUUUCACGGUAGACGAACAACAACAAUGCUUUCCUUCUCUAACGACAAUUAAUUCUUAGCAUCGAACAACUUGUUUUUAUAUUUUUGUCACUUUGGGAGUUAAUUUGACGCUUAUCCAUAAUAUUUCGACAUUAUUUUUUAGUUACUCACUUUGUGAUGGCUCUAAAUAUGUAGUAUUUAGUGUAUUUAGAUACCAACCGGCAAUGUUUUGAGUUGUGUUGCGUAAGAAUAAGUGGUAUAAGACUUUUGAGACAUUUGUUGAAAAUUAUCAUUUAAGACAAAAUACUAUGAUAGAUAUUGAAUAUCAAUAAAUAUUUAUAUAUAAAUCGUCGUAAAAUAAUCAAUUAUGACAUUUUUAUUCACGAGUUAUUUAUUAACUUACGUGGAUUAAAGAACUAAAAAAAAGUCACAGAAAAUGAUAAUAACAUUUUGUAAAAGUCGUCUAAACCUAUUUUUGUAGCUGUAUUUUCUUUUAUCCAUCUUGCUUUUAUUUGUAAAGAGAACCAUUUUCAAUUUUUGGAGAAAUCUUCCAUAAAUUUAUAGGUUUUAUAAAAAAUAAAAAAAAAACGUUUUAGGGAGUUUAUAACUUACAUGCUUUAUUUGAUAAUAAUAAUAAUAUAUGUAAAAAAAAUGAAUGGUAAUGACCUGAAAAAGUAAAUAAAACCUUUUUUUUGUGGAUAAAAUAAUAGUAUACUAAAUUAUUCAUGUUCAAGAUAUAUAGAAAAGUUUAGACAAUCGAAUAAUUAGACAUAUUUAUUUAGAUUAUAUGUAUAGAAUAAAUUUUUAAAAAUAAUAUUAUUUUAAUAAAUAAUGAAAAAAUAGGGGGGAAAGAAAAAGAUUAGACAAAGUUUUGUCAGCGAUUUUCAUUUAAAGAAGUCUUUGACCGAGUGGUUUUCCACCGUCAAAUUUUCAUUUAUGUCUUGGGUUCAGUUUUCCGAUGUUUUCCCUUUUUUUGUGCAACUUAAUGAUUUUAAAAUUACUUUUGUUUUCAACUUUUAACAUUUUUCUAGAUUUCCAUUGUUAAACUAAAUUGUCUUUUGUAAUAUAUAACUUACAUAAUUUCAGUCUAAAGUCUAUGAUUUUAAAUGUUUAACAAUAAUUUUUAAAAAAUAAUUUUAAAUUUUACAUAGGGCUUUUCGAGUAUUUAUUAUUAUUUUAUAUGUUUAUAAACCAUUUAAAACAUGUAGUUUGACACAUGAUAAAGAAAGUUAAUAUAAUAUAAUGGAUUGUAAAUACAAUUAUAUUGAAUACAUAUACAACUGUCGACUCAAUUUAUUUUUUUAAUAUAACAUAAUGGAUUGUAAAUUAUAAAAUAUUACAAAAAAAAUAAAUAUAUAAAUAUUUCGUUAAAUUACAAAUUUAGUGUUUUGGUUUUCAUAAAAUUAUAGAAAAUAGUCUUAAACUAUUUACCAAAGAUAGUCUUAAACUAUUUACCAAAGAUUUUCAAAUCAUAAAAACUAUAUGAGAUUUAUUAUAGAAAAUAGUCUUAAACUAUUUACCAAAGAUAGUCUUAAACUAUUUACCAAAGAUUUUCAAAUCAUAAAAACUAUAUGAGAUUUUAUCAAAUGGUAGAGACUAAACUCUUCCUUUCUCAAAACCAUACAAACUAAAUAUGAAAUUUAGCCAAAAUUUUAAAUAUAAAUUAUAAUCAUAUAGUUUAUUGUCAGUUAAAUCUUGGUUGAUAAAUAAGACUAAUUUUAUGGUUUAUAAAUAUAUAAUAUUAGACAUGUUUAAACAUUCUCUUAAAUUUGAAUCAAAAUUUUUAAAAUUUUGAAUAUUUUGAAUUUGCUAAGUAAGGCGAACUUAAAAUAUAAUUGUCUUAAUUGUAUUCCUUGUAUAAAAAUUUCAAAAUUGAGAUUUUAUACCAAGUAGACCCUAGCCUCUCACCACAGAAAAUAAGAUAAAAAGUAAAAACCUAACCUUUAAUCACGAUUGUGACCACCAAAGUCGUCCAUUGAAAUAGAAACACCAAUAGUUAAAUAAAGAGAUAUAUAAGAGAGAAGAGUGUAGAAAUAAAACCUGUAGAUUCAAG